RNAcentral lists this ribosomal RNA (434 nucleotides) under uncultured bacterium. RNAcentral's name for it is "partial 16S ribosomal RNA". It matches the Rfam family "Bacterial small subunit ribosomal RNA", at positions 29 to 507 of the family's 1533-position model. The record is from RNAcentral.
AGCGAACGCUGGCGGCAGGCCUAACACAUGCAAGUCGAACGAACCUUUCGGGGUUAGUGGCGGACGGGUGAGUAACACGUGGGAACGUGCCUUUAGGUUCGGAAUAACUCAGGGAAACUUGUGCUAAUACCGAAUGUGCCCUUCGGGGGAAAGAUUUAUCGCCUUUAGAGCGGCCCGCGUCUGAUUAGCUAGUUGGUUGAGGUAAUGGCUCACCAAGGCGACGAUCAGUAGCUGGUCUGAGAGGAUGAUAAGCCACAUUGGAACUGAGACACGGCCCAAACUCCUACGGGAGGCAGGAGUGGGGAAUCUUGCGCAAUGGGCGAAAGCCUGACGCAGCCAUGCCGCGUGAAUGAUGAAGGUCUUAGGAUUGUAAAAUUCUUUCACCGGGGACGAUAAUGACGGUACCCGGAGAAGAAGCCCCGGCUAACUUCGUG